This 253-nucleotide ribosomal RNA is filed under the name uncultured bacterium. Its description in RNAcentral is "partial 16S ribosomal RNA". It matches the Rfam family "Bacterial small subunit ribosomal RNA", at positions 524 to 776 of the family's 1533-position model. The record is from RNAcentral.
UACGGAGGGGGCGAGCGUUAUUCGGAAUUAUUGGGCGUAAAGGGCGCGUAGGCGGCCGGAUAAGUCAAAGGUGAAAUCCCUCGGCUCAACUGAGGAACUGCCUUUGAAACUGUUUGGCUCGAGUCCGGGAGGGGGUAGCGGAAUUCCCAGUGUAGCGGUGAAAUGCGUAGAUAUUGGGAGGAACACCAGUGGCGAAGGCGGCUCACUGGACUGGUAUUGACGCUGAGGUGUGAAAGCGUGGGGAGCAAACAGG